RNAcentral lists this ribosomal RNA (500 nucleotides) under uncultured Glomeromycotina. RNAcentral describes it as "partial small subunit ribosomal RNA". It matches the Rfam family "Eukaryotic small subunit ribosomal RNA", at positions 591 to 1092 of the family's 1831-position model. The record is from RNAcentral. Lineage: Eukaryota; Fungi; Glomeromycota.
CCAAUAGCGUAUAUUAAAGUUGUUGCAGUUAAAAAGCUCGUAGUUGAAUUUCGGGGUCAGUAGGUUGGUCGUGCCAACGGUAUGUACUGGCCUUACUGAUUCCUCCCUCUUGUAGAACCGUAAUGCCAUUAAUUUGGUGUUGCGGGGAAACUGGACUGUUACUUUGAAAAAAUUAGAGUGUUUAAAGCAGGCUAACGCUUGAAUACAUUAGCAUGGAAUAAUGAAAUAGGACGUUCGAUCCUAUUUUGUUGGUUUCUAGGAUUGACGUAAUGAUUAAUAGGGAUAGUUGGGGGCAUUAGUAUUAAAUUGUCAGAGGUGAAAUUCUUGGAUUUAUUGAAGACUAACUACUGCGAAAGCAUUUGCCAAGGAUGUUUUCAUUAAUCAAGAACGAAAGUUAGGGGAUCGAAGACGAUCAGAUACCGUCGUAGUCUUAACCAUAAACUAUGCCGACUAGGGAUCGGAUGAUGUUAAUUUUUUAAUGACUCAUUCGGCGCCUUACG